CUUCUUUAGCAUUGUCGAUCUAAGUCCAUCGUGCCUUAUCCGCCGAGCUUCUUUCGCCGACGGUUGUCGUGGACUAUGAUUUUCUGCACAAUGCUUUAUUCUCUUGAUGUGACAUCUUCUUUUGACAACCCAUCUUCUCUUGAUACUUAUCUUGUAUCUUCAAGUGAUGCGGUGUCUACCUCUGAUGUGCCAUCUCUUCGUUAUCUCCUUCGGCGACUUGACAAGUUUUGAAGACUCUUCAUGCUACGACGACACUCUCAAGACGCGGAUUUGGAUUAUCAUUUUUUUUCUUCAGUAUUACACUUCUUCAAAUGCAAUGCUAUUGCAUACGUUUUGCAUUUGAGGGGG
This 348-nucleotide long non-coding RNA is filed under the name Hordeum vulgare. RNAcentral's name for it is "long non-coding RNA (HVUL_LNC005156)". The record is from RNAcentral. Lineage: Eukaryota; Viridiplantae; Streptophyta; Magnoliopsida; Poales; Poaceae.